This 60-nucleotide transfer RNA is filed under the name Leptochilus digitatus. RNAcentral describes it as "partial tRNA-Leu". Lineage: Eukaryota; Viridiplantae; Streptophyta; Polypodiopsida; Polypodiales; Polypodiaceae. RNAcentral also lists the same sequence under 3 other names. The record is from RNAcentral.
UAGGACGAAAAUCCGUUGGUUUCACGGGACCGUGAGGGUUCGAAUCCCUCUAUCCCCAAC